Molecule: ribosomal RNA, 776 nt
Filed under: uncultured Neocallimastigales
Lineage: Eukaryota; Fungi; Neocallimastigomycota; Neocallimastigomycetes; Neocallimastigales
Description: partial large subunit ribosomal RNA
Rfam family: Eukaryotic large subunit ribosomal RNA
Source: RNAcentral
AGAGAGAGACAUGCGCGCAUAUCAAUAAGCGGAGGAAAAGAAACUAACAAGGAUUCCCCUAGUAACGGCGAGUGAAGCGGGAAGAGCUCAAAUUUGAAAUCUUAAAGGGUUUCCCUUUACGAAUUGUAGUUUAAAGAAGUGUUUUCUGUUGAGGUUUUGGUAAAAGUUCUUUGGAAUAGGACAUCAUAGAGGGUGAGAAUCCCGUAUUUGACCUUUACUUUCAACUUUGUGAUACACUUUCAAAGAGUCGGAUUGUUUGGGAAUGCAGUCCAAAAUGGGUGGUAAAUUUCAUCUAAAGCUAAAUAUUGGCGAGAGACCGAUAGCGAACAAGUACCGUGAGGGAAAGAUGAAAAGAACUUUGAAAAGAGAGUUAAACAGUACGUGAAAUUGUCAAAAGGGAAGCGUUUGACACCAGUGUUGUUUUUCUGAAAAUCAAUUAAAGAACUGUUUAUGCUAAGCUGUUUAGACUUUAUCAGCUAAUCUGUUUAGUUUUGUAGCUUUUCUUUAAUGCACUUUUCAGUUAACAAGUCAACAUCAAUUUCUUUUGCUGUAAAAAAGCUUGAGGAAGGUGGCUUGAGAUUCGUCUUAAGUGUUUAUAGCCUCUUGCCUAUGCAGUCGGAGAGAUUGAGGUCUGCAGCGUAGAUCCUUCGGGGCUAAAUGCAUUUGUGCUAAGUUAUAGCAUUUUAUAGACAACUUGUUGACUAUGAUUUGUCUUGUAGCUUACUCGCUUAUGUUAUUUUACCUACGCUUAGGAUGUUGACGCAUGAGAUAUACGC